RNAcentral lists this ribosomal RNA (378 nucleotides) under uncultured bacterium. RNAcentral describes it as "bacterial SSU rRNA". It matches the Rfam family "Bacterial small subunit ribosomal RNA", at positions 102 to 507 of the family's 1533-position model. The record is from RNAcentral.
ACGGGUGAGUAACACGUUGGAACCUGCCCCAAAGUAAGGGAUAAGCCACCGAAAGGUGGUCUAAUACCUUAUAGUAUCCAUCUCGUAUGGAUUAAAGCUUUAUGCGCUUUGGGAGGGGCCUGCGUUUGAUUAGCUAGUUGGUGAGGUAAAAAGCUCACCAAGGCGACGAUCAAUAGCUGGUUUGAGAGGAUGACCAGCCACACUGGGACUGAGAUACGGCCCAGACUCCUACGGGAGGCAGCAGUAAGGAAUCUUCCACAAUGGGGCAACCCUGAUGGAGCAAUACCGCGUGCAGGAUGAAGCGUUUCGGCGUGUAAACUGCUUUUAUCACCGAAGAUUAUGACUGUAGGUGAAGAAUAAGGACCGGCUAACUACGUG